CUCUUAUACAGACUGUCGGUAUCCAGUAACACGAAGUUGGUGCGCGUACCAUUCUAUCGAGCAGCCGUUCGGCGGGGGUUAUUGUUUGGAUCGCAAAGCAGUCCUGCGUUGGGAGGUCGACACUAGGACCACAACAGACAUGGAUGCACACUUACUGCUGCUGUUUUUGCUGUGCUCAGCUACGGUAGCUGCUGCGGAUUCGGAUGACGGCUCAAGUGUGUCUACAGGGACAUCCGUGGGCAGUAGUGUAGCAGGCUUCUUCGUGUUCUGCUGCGUCGUGUACUGCAUAUGGCGUUUCUGUUGCGCUCGAUGCCGAAGCACAACGGUGGUCGUCCCGCAAGCAGCAUCGGCCGCUCCUACUGUGGUUGUGGCCCCCACCAUCAUGACUCCUCCGGCACAGAACACGGUGGUUAACAACAUGAUGUCGUAAGGGUUGCUUCGAACGAGUUAUCCUGCAUCGUGGGACUGCCUUGGUCAGAUGAAACUUCUAUACCACCGCAAAAGAAUGUUCGCGAAAAGAAGGAAAACAAAGACGAAGAAGAUGUUGUACACGCCAUGUAACGGAACUGCAUAAACAUCUCAUUAUCACCUAUUAAAAAAGUCAAAUUUUAAAA
Ornithodoros turicata is the source of this 614-nucleotide long non-coding RNA. RefSeq lists it as uncharacterized. NCBI's taxonomy places the organism in Eukaryota, Metazoa, Arthropoda, Arachnida, Ixodida, Argasidae. The record is from RefSeq and is a predicted model, not a curated record. The transcript has 3 exons.